RNAcentral lists this ribosomal RNA (253 nucleotides) under uncultured bacterium. RNAcentral describes it as "partial 16S ribosomal RNA". It matches the Rfam family "Bacterial small subunit ribosomal RNA", at positions 524 to 776 of the family's 1533-position model. The record is from RNAcentral.
GACAGAGGGUGCAAACGUUGUUCGGAAUUACUGGGCGUAAAGGGCUCGUAGGCGGCCAACUAAGUCAGACGUGAAAUCCCCAGGCUCAACCUGGGAACUGCGUCUGAUACUGGAUGGCUUGAAUCCGGGAGAGGGAUGCAGAAUUCCAGGUGUAGCGGUGAAAUGCGUAGAUAUCGGAAGGAACAUCAGUGGCGAAAGCGACUUCCUGGACCAAUACUGACGCUCAUGUGCGAAAGCGUGGGGAGCAAACAGG